GGCCUCGUAGCGCAGCUGGUAGAGCGUGCGCUGUACAAAAGCGUAAGCAGCAUUCAUGCGUGAGUUAGAAUCCCACCAAGGUUA
Molecule: transfer RNA, 84 nt
Filed under: Echinostoma caproni
Lineage: Eukaryota; Metazoa; Platyhelminthes; Trematoda; Plagiorchiida; Echinostomatidae
Rfam family: tRNA
About the family: Transfer RNA (tRNA) molecules are approximately 80 nucleotides in length. Their secondary structure includes four short double-helical elements and three loops (D, anti-codon, and T loops). Further hydrogen bonds mediate the characteristic L-shaped molecular structure. tRNAs have two regions of fundamental functional importance: the anti-codon, which is responsible for specific mRNA codon recognition, and the 3' end, to which the tRNAs corresponding amino acid is attached (by aminoacyl-tRNA synthetases). tRNAs cope with the degeneracy of the genetic code in two manners: having more than one tRNA (with a specific anti-codon) for a particular amino acid; and 'wobble' base-pairing, i.e. permitting non-standard base-pairing at the 3rd anti-codon position.
Source: Rfam by way of RNAcentral